UGAGGAAUAUUGGUCAAUGGACGCAAGUCUGAACCAGCCAAGUAGCGUGCAGGAUGACGGCCCUAUGGGUUGUAAACUGCUUUUAUAUGGGGAUAAAGUGGGGAACGUGUUCCCUUUUGCAGGUACCAUAUGAAUAAGGACCGGCUAAUUCCGUGCCAUCAGCCGCGGUAAUACGGAAGGUUCGGGCGUUAUCCGGAUUUAUUGGGUUUAAAGGGAGCGUAGGCCGUUUGGUAAGCGUGUUGUGAAAUGUAAGAGCUCAACUUUUAGAUUGCAGCGCGAACUGGCAGACUUGAGUGCGCACAACGUAGGCGGAAUUCAUGGUGUAGCGGUGAAAUGCUUAGAUAUCAUGACGAACUCCGAUUGCGAAGGCAGCUUACGGGAGCGCAACUGACGCUAAAGCUCGAAGGUGCGGGUAUCGAACGGGA
Molecule: ribosomal RNA, 425 nt
Filed under: Verrucomicrobiota bacterium
Lineage: Bacteria; Pseudomonadati; Verrucomicrobiota
Description: Verrucomicrobia bacterium partial 16S ribosomal RNA
Rfam family: Bacterial small subunit ribosomal RNA
Source: RNAcentral